This 338-nucleotide long non-coding RNA is filed under the name Coffea arabica (coffee). Its description in RNAcentral is "long non-coding RNA (CARA_LNC004912)". Lineage: Eukaryota; Viridiplantae; Streptophyta; Magnoliopsida; Gentianales; Rubiaceae. The record is from RNAcentral.
GAGGAUCUAGCCAUGAUGACUAUGGGUAUCGGAGGUCUCCCAAGCGAUCACCUUUUCGCGGCGGACGUGAUUACUCCCCCCGGCGAUCACCAUAUGGUGGAAGGUCAAGAAGGGAUAGGUCAAGGUCCUAUUCUCCUUACCGUAGUCCUGAAAGGAACUAUGCUCGUGGCUCUAGAUGAAACUUGGUACCAGGUUUUGGUAUCUGUUUAUGGGGAAAACUGUUUCAUAGAUUUUUUUCGGUUGUUUUCUUGGUAGGAUUGGAAUGAGGAUGCUUGGAUUGUUUACUUCUGUUGUUGGUCAGGUGUGUGCACUUUUUUAUACCCUGUUAGCUAAGUGUG